CUCCAGACUCCUACGGGAGGCAGCAGUGGGGAAUAUUGCACAAUGGGGGAAACCCUGAUGCAGCGACGCCGCGUGAGCGAUGAAGUAUUUCGGUAUGUAAAGCUCUAUCAGCAGGGAAGAAGAUGACGGUACCUGACUAAGAAGCCCCGGCUAACUACGUGCCAGCAGCCGCGGUAAUACGUAGGGGGCAAGCGUUAUCCGGAUUUACUGGGUGUAAAGGGAGCGUAGACGGCGAUGCAAGCCAGAUGUGAAAGCCCGGGGCUCAACCCCGGGACUGCAUUUGGAACUGUGUGGCUGGAGUGUCGGAGAGGCAGGCGGAAUUCCUAGUGUAGCGGUGAAAUGCGUAGAUAUUAGGAGGAACACCAGUGGCGAAGGCGGCCUGCUGGACGAUGACUGACGUUGAGGCUCGAAAGCGUGGGGAGCAAACAGGAUUAGAUACCCCAGUACC
Molecule: ribosomal RNA, 448 nt
Filed under: uncultured bacterium
Lineage: Bacteria
Description: bacterial SSU rRNA
Rfam family: Bacterial small subunit ribosomal RNA
Source: RNAcentral